Molecule: non-coding RNA, 2157 nt
Organism: Salmo salar (Atlantic salmon)
Lineage: Eukaryota; Metazoa; Chordata; Actinopteri; Salmoniformes; Salmonidae
Source: RefSeq, a predicted model, not a curated record
GUCUCUGGGCAAUUUAGGAAUAUUCUGUUAUUCGUGCAUACAGGGAUACUUGUGAGUAUCCAGGACCUCUAUACCAGGUGGUGUCAGAGGAAGGCCCAAACAAUUGUCAAAGACCCCAACCACCAAAGUCAUAGUGUGCUCUCUGCAACUGAACGGCAAGUGGUACCGAUGCACCAAGUCUGGAACCUACAGGACCCUGAACAUCUUCUACCCCUAAGCCAUAAGACUGCUAAAUAGUUAGUCCAGAUAGUUAAAUAGUUAACCAAAUAGCUAUCUGCAUUGACCCUUUUUGCACUAACUCUUGACUCAUCACAUACGCUGCUGCUACUGUUUAUUAUCUAUUCUUAUUUAUCCCCAGGUAUAUGUACUGUACAUAUCUACUUCAAUUACCUUGUACCCCUGCACAGUGAGUCGGUACUGGUACUCCGUGUAUAUAGCCAAGUUAUCGUUACUCAUUGUGUAUUUAUUCCUCAUGUUAUUAUUUUUCUCUCUGCAUUGUUGGGAAGGGCUGUAAGUAAGCAUUUCACUGUUUCUCUACACCUGUUGUUUACAAAGCAUGUGACAAAUAAAAUUUGAUUUGAUUUGAAAGGCCUUAAACGUCUUAUCCUGAUAAGACCUUAACCGGGAUAUGAGCCAACUUUGAAUGUGUGUAAGCUGUAACGAACACAAUGAGGGCGUCUGCUAAAAGACUAAACUAUGACGAAUCAGAAGUGAAUGAUUUUUGUUUCCUCAUUUCUUCUCUGUUAAUUCAUGAUUGAACAAACAAGACAUAUAUAAACCAUAUAAAAGAGCCAUGAUGUCUGAGGUGCUGAGUACAGUGGAACUCUGAUUUCUCACUGCUAAUUUCCUGCAUCAUAUCGGGGCAGACGGGUUGCCUUCCACAUUAACAAUGUUCCAGUGCUGUUGUUGUAGAGACAACAGUCUUAUUUACAAAGCAGAGGUGUUCACUGGAGAAAUGCUGUACGCCGGCACAAUGAACAGUAUCUAUAUACAACUCCGUGGCACAAUGGAUUCAAGCCAUCGCAUCUGCCUCCCAAAAAGUAGAUUCAUUGGGGGCCACCCCCGAGGGGCUGUGAGUAACCCAUUGCUACAACUUUCCUUCCUUUGACCAUCUGUCCAUUUGGGUGACAAAAUCUAAAUCCAUUCACAUUAUUUUCAUUCUUAUGACUAGCAUACACUAAGCUAACAUGUGGAAUUGUUUAAGGACCCCUUAAGGUAUCCCCAAAAAUAUUUGAUGAAACAUUGAGUUUGGCCUUACUGCUCUUAGCCCAUAGAAAACAUCAUACAUGGAUGAACAGAUUAUCUAAAGAAAGUUUGUUCUGAAGUGUCUGUCCUAUAUCUGAGAGAUAUAAGAAAGAUCAGGAAACUAUUUAUAUAUAUGGUUUUUACAUGUAUUUAACCCCUUAUUUUAGGUACUAAACUAUCUUCAUAUAUACUUACAUUCAUUUUUUGUAACUGGUUCCACACUACCUUUAAACUAGUCUUGUGACGCUUGCAGGCUUCCUAGAGCAAAACACAUGUUUGUGAUAGUCUCAUCUUUCCAUAGAGGGGUCAUAAUAGUUUGCAGGCCAAACCCUUCGGAAGCUACAGACGUUUUUGUGAGAAGACCGAUUUUUGGGAUGUCUCAUGGUCUGACAAACACAGCUCUAGCUCUGCCAUCUUUCACCCUAGAUGCUGAAGGGUGACAUCGGCGGAUGUGAUGAAUUUAGACGCAGUCCAUGUAAAAAAUUCUCUCUAGCUUAAACUGAUGGAUUUUGAUGGGGAUUUUUGUUUAUGCUAAUUCGAUUUCCGCAGGGGCGCAGACAUAGACAUGAGGAGGGUUUAAACUGGUUGGAACAAGGGGAGAGAGUACAUCCCAAAAACUGUCAGCCAAGUUCUCCAAAAAGUUGUAUUAUGUGCAACCAGAGAUUCUGGGUUCGAGCCCAGGCUUAGCCGCAGCCGGCCGUGACCGGGAGGCUCAUGGGGCAACGCACAAUUGGCCCAGCUUUGUCAGGGUUAGGGAGGGUUUGGCCGGCAGGGAUAUCCUUGUCUCAUCGCGCACUAGCGACUCCUGUGGUGGGCCGGGCGCAGUGCAGGCUGACUAGGUCGCUAGGUGUACGGUGUUUCCUCCGACACAUUGGUGCGGCUGGCUUCCGGGUUGGAUGUGCGCUGUGUCAA